CUGACCGUGCAAAGGUAGCGUAAUCACUUGUCUUUUAAAUGGGGACUUGUAUGAAUGGUAUAACGAGGGCUUAACUGUCUCCUCCCUCUUGUCAAUGAAAUUGAUCUCCCCGUGCAGAAGCGGGGAUACUCUCAUAAGACGAGAAGACCCUAUGGAGCUUUAGAUACUAAGGUAGACCAUAUUCCAUAACCCCUUGUUAAAGGAGUAAAUCUAUGCUAAUCCUACCCCUAUAUCUUCGGUUGGGGCGACAAUGGGGAAAUAAAAAUCCCCCAUGCGGAACGGGAAAAUUUUAUCUAAGAAAUUAUUCUUACCAUAAAGCUACUUCCCCAAAUUAAGAGUGACAACUCUAAAUUACAGUAUUUCUGACCAUAAAUGAUCCGGCAUUUGCCGAUUAACGGACCAAGUUACCCUAGGGAUAACAGCGCAAUCCCCUUUUAGAGCCCACAUCAACAAGGGGGUUUACGACCUCGAUGUUGGAUCAGGACAUCCUAUUGGUGCAGCCGCUAUUAAGGGUUCGUUGUUCAACGAUUAAAGUCCUACGUGAUCUGAGUUCAGACCGGAG
Molecule: ribosomal RNA, 562 nt
Filed under: Coryphaena hippurus (common dolphinfish)
Lineage: Eukaryota; Metazoa; Chordata; Actinopteri; Carangiformes; Coryphaenidae
Description: partial 16S ribosomal RNA
Rfam family: Bacterial large subunit ribosomal RNA
Source: RNAcentral